AGCAGCCGCGGUAAUUCCAGCUCCAAUAGCGUAUAUUAAAGUUGUUGCAGUUAAAAAGCUCGUAGUUGAAUUUCGGGGUUAGUAGGUUGGUCAUGCCUCUGGUAUGUACUGGUCUCACUGAUUCCUCCUUCCUGAUGAGCCGUAAUGCCAUUAAUUUGGUGUUGCGAGGAAUCUGGACUGUUACUUUGAAAAAAUUAGAGUGUUUAAAGCAGGCUAACGCUUGAAUACAUUAGCAUGGAAUAAUAAAAUAGGACGGCAUGAUUCUAUUUUGUUGGUUUCUAGGAUUGACGUAAUGAUUAAUAGGGAUAGUUGGG
RNAcentral lists this ribosomal RNA (314 nucleotides) under uncultured Glomus. RNAcentral's name for it is "SSU rRNA". It matches the Rfam family "Eukaryotic small subunit ribosomal RNA", at positions 569 to 886 of the family's 1831-position model. Lineage: Eukaryota; Fungi; Glomeromycota; Glomeromycetes; Glomerales; Glomeraceae. The record is from RNAcentral.